ACGUUAGUGCGAUUGAUUUAGCGGCCGCCGUUCGAUCUUGUGCCAGCAGCCGCUAUGAUUCCAGCUCCAAUAGCGUAUAUUAAAGUUGUUGCGGUUAAAAAGCUCGCCUGUGAACCUUGAACCUGGCUGGCCGGUCCGCCUCACCGCGUGCACUGUCCCGGCCGGGCCUUUCCCUCUGUGGAACCCCAUACCCUUCACUGGGCGUGGUGGGGAAACAGGACAUUUACUUUGAAAAAAUUAGAGUGCUCCAGGAAGGCCUAUGCUCAAAUACAUUAUCAUGGAAUAAUAAAAUAAGACGCGCGGUUCUAUUUUGUUGCUUUAUAGUACCGCCGUAAUGAUUAGUAUCGACAGCCGGCCCCAUCAGUAUUCAACUGUCAGAGGUGAAAUUCUUGGAUCAGUUGAAGACUAACUACUGCGAAAGCAUUUGCCAAGGAUGUUUUCAUUAAUCAGGAACGAAAGUUAGGGGAUCGAAGACGAUCAGAUACCGUCGUAGUCUUAACCAUAAACUAUGCCGACUAGGGAUCGGACGGUGUUAUUCAUGACCCGUUCGGCACCUUACGAGAAAUCAAAGUGCUUGGGCUUCUCAAAAAAAAAAAAAAAGAAGGCUGAAACUUGAAGAAGUGACGGAAGGGCACCACCAGGGGUGUAGUCCUGCUGUCUUUAUUUUGACUCAACACGGGGAAACUCACCAGAGUCCAGACACAAUAAGGGAUUGACAGAUUGAGAGCUCUUUCUUGAUUUUGUGGGUGGUGGUGCAUGGACGGUCCUUAGUGGUGGGGGACUUGUCUGCUUAAUUAGCGAUAACGAACGAAACCUUAAACCUGCUAAAUAGGCCCGCAUUGCUGCGGGCAGUGCGGCUGGCUUCUUAAAGGACUUUCGGAUCAGGCGAAGGAGUUGAGCAAUAACGGUCUUGUGAUGGCCUUAAAAUGUUCUGGACGGCAGCGCGGUUAAAACUAGAACGGU
This 963-nucleotide ribosomal RNA is filed under the name uncultured fungus. RNAcentral's name for it is "bacterial SSU rRNA". It matches the Rfam family "Eukaryotic small subunit ribosomal RNA", at positions 508 to 1513 of the family's 1831-position model. Lineage: Eukaryota; Fungi. The record is from RNAcentral.